AACGAACGCUGGCGGCAUGCCUAACACAUGCAAGUCGAACGAGACCUUCGGGUCUAGUGGCGCACGGGUGCGUAACGCGUGGGAACCUGCCCUUAGGUUCGGAAUAACUCCCCGAAAGGGGUGCUAAUACCGGAUAAGGUCUUCGGACCAAAGAUUUAUCGCCUUUGGAUGGGCCCGCGUUGGAUUAGCUAGUUGGUAGGGUAAAAGCCUACCAAGGCGACGAUCCAUAGCUGGUCUGAGAGGAUGAUCAGCCACACUGGGACUGAGACACGGCCCAGACUCCUACGGGAGGCAGCAGUGGGGAAUAUUGGACAAUGGGCGAAAGCCUGAUCCAGCAAUGCCGCGUGAGUGAUGAAGGCCUUAGGGUUGUAAAGCUCUUUUACCCGGGAUGAUAAUGACAGUACCGGGAGAAUAAGCCCCGGCUAACUCCGUG
Molecule: ribosomal RNA, 433 nt
Filed under: uncultured bacterium
Lineage: Bacteria
Description: partial 16S ribosomal RNA
Rfam family: Bacterial small subunit ribosomal RNA
Source: RNAcentral